UGGGGAAUUUUGGACAAUGGGCGCAAGCCUGAUCCAGCCAUGCCGCGUGCAGGAUGAAGGCCUUCGGGUUGUAAACUGCUUUUGUACGGAACGAAAAGGUGCCUUCUAAUAAAGGGCGCUCAUGACGGUACCGUAAGAAUAAGCACCGGCUAACUACGUGCCAGCAGCCGCGGUAAUACGUAGGGUGCGAGCGUUAAUCGGAAUUACUGGGCGUAAAGCGUGCGCAGGCGGUUUUGUAAGACAGAGGUGAAAUCCCCGGGCUCAACCUGGGAACUGCCUUUGUGACUGCAAGCCUGGAGUGCGGCAGAGGGGGAUGGAAUUCCGCGUGUAGCAGUGAAAUGCGUAGAUAUGCGGAGGAACACCGAUGGCGAAGGCAAUCCCCUGGGCCUGCACUGACGCUCAUGCACGAAAGCGUGGGGAGCAAACA
RNAcentral lists this ribosomal RNA (427 nucleotides) under uncultured bacterium. RNAcentral describes it as "bacterial SSU rRNA". It matches the Rfam family "Bacterial small subunit ribosomal RNA", at positions 355 to 774 of the family's 1533-position model. The record is from RNAcentral.